CUAAGAUAAGAAAAGAGACAUAGUCUGAUGAAUUUUCUCCUAGGAUCAAAAUCUUAGUCUGAUGAAUCUUUCUCCUAAGAUAGAAGACCUAGUCUGAUGAACUUUCUCCUAGGAUCAAAAUCUUAGUCUGAUGAAUCUUUCUCCUAAGAUAAGAAAAGAGACCUAGUAUGAUGAAUUUUCUCCUAGGAUAGAAGUCUUAGUCUGAUAAAUCUUUCUCCUAAGAUAGAAAACCUAGUCCGAUGAAUUUUCUCCUAGGAUAAUAAUUUUAAAAAAAAGGAAGUCUGAAUUUGAAAAAGGGGGG
Molecule: long non-coding RNA, 301 nt
Filed under: Nicotiana tabacum (common tobacco)
Lineage: Eukaryota; Viridiplantae; Streptophyta; Magnoliopsida; Solanales; Solanaceae
Description: long non-coding RNA (NTAB_LNC019190)
Source: RNAcentral